ACGGCUCAGUAACACGUCGAUAAUCUGACCUAUGGUCUGGAAUAGCCUUGGGAAACUGAGGGUAAUACCGGAUAUGAGAAUCUGUCUGGAAUGACUUUUCUUUGAAAAGCAAUGCCAUAGGGUGAGUCGGCGGCGGAUUAGGUUGUUGGUGGGGUAAUGGCCCACCAAGCCGAAGAUCCGUAGGGGCCUUGAGAGAGGGAGCCCCGAGAAGGACACUGAAACACGGGUCCUAGCCCUACGGGGUGCAGCAGGCGCGGAACCUCUACAAUGCAGGAAACUGUGAUAGGGGAAUCCCAAGUGCUUAUGCAAUGCAUAGGCUUUUGCCAAGGGUAAACACCUUGGAGAAUAAGUGGUGGGAAAGACCGGUGCCAGCAGCCGCGGUAACCCCGGCGCCACAAGUGGCAAUCACAUUUAUUGGGCCUAAAGCGUCCGUAGCCUGUCUAGAAAAUCUUUUGUGAAAUCGUCUGGCUCAACCAAACGGCGAGCAGAAGACACUACUAGACUAGGGACCGGGAGGAGUCAGAGGUAUGCCAAGGGGAGCGGUAAAAUGCUAUAAUCCUUGGUAGACCACCUGUGGCGAAGGCGUCUGACUAGAACGGAUCUGACGGUGAGGGACGAAAGCCAGGGGAGCGAACCGGAUUAGAUACCCGAGUAGUCCUGGCUGUAAACGCUGCGAGCUAGGUGUUGCACAUUCUUCGAGAAUGUGCAGUGUCGAAGCGAAGGUGUUAAGCUCGCCGCCUGGGAAGUACGGUCGCAAGACUGAAACUUAAAGGAAUUGGCGGGGGAG
RNAcentral lists this ribosomal RNA (787 nucleotides) under uncultured archaeon. Its description in RNAcentral is "bacterial SSU rRNA". It matches the Rfam family "Archaeal small subunit ribosomal RNA", at positions 85 to 876 of the family's 1478-position model. The record is from RNAcentral.